GGCGUGGUAUCCAUGUGGUAAGGCGUCGGUCUCGUAAACCGAAGUUCGUGGGUUCAAUCCCCAUUCACGCCU
This is a non-coding RNA of Gadus chalcogrammus (walleye pollock), 72 nucleotides long. Lineage: Eukaryota; Metazoa; Chordata; Actinopteri; Gadiformes; Gadidae. The record is from the annotation of a RefSeq genome assembly.